UCCUACCCUAUAUGUAUUUAUCUAUCUUUUUGCUAUUGUCAUAUGUUUUUUUUAUCAAGACAGCUAUAUUUUCGCGGGGUUUGCGAGAAUCUCGCUGGUCUUUGUGGCUGGGAUUCUUCAGAUGUGGAGAUACUACAUAAUUGUAGCUAGAGUAGGAGUCUUUUUAUUUGUCCUAAGAUGGUUAAAAAUGGAUGAGAAGGUGAUAAGUUAUUUGAAGUUGCACAUAAAGGAGAUGAGGUGUUGGUAAGAAAGAAGAGCUAUCACGAUACUGUGUUUCUGGUUAUGUCCGAUUUAUAAUCCCACAUGUCAUCGUUUCUAUAAUUGAUAUUUAGCUUAAAUAUCAAAUACGAGAGUGAAGGGUGCCUAACAAUUAACUAAAA
This 380-nucleotide long non-coding RNA is filed under the name Daucus carota (carrot). RNAcentral's name for it is "long non-coding RNA (DCAR_LNC003281)". Lineage: Eukaryota; Viridiplantae; Streptophyta; Magnoliopsida; Apiales; Apiaceae. The record is from RNAcentral.